This 87-nucleotide transfer RNA is filed under the name Pacificimonas flava. Its description in RNAcentral is "tRNA-Leu". It matches the Rfam family "tRNA". Rfam says of the family: Transfer RNA (tRNA) molecules are approximately 80 nucleotides in length. Their secondary structure includes four short double-helical elements and three loops (D, anti-codon, and T loops). The record is from RNAcentral. Lineage: Bacteria; Pseudomonadati; Pseudomonadota; Alphaproteobacteria; Sphingomonadales; Sphingosinicellaceae. RNAcentral also lists the same sequence under 1 other name.
GCGGGCGUGGCGGAACUGGUAGACGCGCCAGAUUUAGGUUCUGGUGUCCGGAAGGACGUGGGGGUUCAAGUCCCUUCGCCCGCACCA